This 1014-nucleotide long non-coding RNA is filed under the name Macaca mulatta (Rhesus monkey). Its description in RNAcentral is "lncRNA (ENSMMUG00000062155.1)". Lineage: Eukaryota; Metazoa; Chordata; Mammalia; Primates; Cercopithecidae. The record is from RNAcentral.
CUGCUCUGUUCCUGAUGAUGGCUGGGAGUGGAACUGUGAUGUACACCAUGAAUUGGAAGCUGACUGUCACACCAUGGCAGCAGGGACCAGCACAGAGGCAGUGCUGCCCACAGACAUAGAGAGCCCUGAGUGAGGAGAGAGCUGGGAAGGUCUCGGCUGUCCACUGGCAAAGGACAAUGGAUCUCCAAGGGGUGCAGCCGGCUGAUGGGUGAUGGCAUGGAUGGAGGAUCUGGGCAGACUGUCCUCUCACAGAUGGAAAAACCGAGGCCAAGCUCCGGAGGGUCAGUGGAUGGUCUGAGGCCACACAGCACAGCAAGGGUUUGCAUGGAGACCGCCCUGCCCCUGGGCUAUCCAGACUGGAGAGAGCCCCACCCGGCUCCUGGCAGAGAAAAAGGCCUAGGAAGGGGACCUGAGCCAAGAAGCACAGGAGGCGAGGGGGACUGUCCUCCACUCAGACAGCAAACGCUUCCUGACGCCUCCAUCACCACCCAAGCAGCUCAACUAGGUAAUUUCCCAAGGUCGAGUUCUCUCCCUGCAAAGAAUUCUGGGGCCUGCUAUAAGGAUAAUUAAAUGUUCUCCACUUCACUUCGUUCCUGCACUCCUUCACUCAUUCCAUGCACUCACUGGAUUCCUAGGGCUCCAAGGCACCUGUUAGAAGCUGGGGAGCCAGCAAUGAAUCAGGACCCGAGAAGCAGCACAAAGGGCAGGUGCUGAGGCCACGGGGCCCCUCCUCGGGAAAGCCUGGCCCAACACCCUCCCUACCCUGAGCUCCAUCUUAUGGCGCGGCUGUCCAUCUGUCUCCACUGGCCUACCACUUCUGUGGGCCCAGUGCAGGAGCCACCCACAGCUGUAGCUGAACAGCGUUGUUUGUCAAAGGGGGUGACAGCACCAUUUGGGUGAAAAGCUUUAUAAACAGCAUGGGUUCACGCACAGGCGAAGGGUCAUGAGAGUGUGCACUUAGGCUGGCUGGGUCCGGGGGGCAGGAGAGGGGUCAGCCCAGGGCAGCGGUGGUGU